Molecule: unclassified non-coding RNA, 509 nt
Filed under: Hevea brasiliensis (rubber tree)
Lineage: Eukaryota; Viridiplantae; Streptophyta; Magnoliopsida; Malpighiales; Euphorbiaceae
Source: RNAcentral
GCAGCAUAUUCCACAACCACAAGCUUGUUCUUUGCCAUUCUAAGGGCUUCAUCGAAUUCCUCCAUAUUGUGGAUUUUUUUUACUCUUUCAUCUCUAGCAGCUGUCUUGGUCUCAGAGGCAGCAGUGGCCUUUAUGAUGAAGUGUGUCCUGUUCGUUUCUAGUUUUGUUGCUAAUAAAGGCUUAUGUUUAGAGACAAAGUUAACUAGAAAGGAACCAUGGAAGCAAAGAGGAUUGAUUCUAGGGGUGCUUGAAAGAGAAGUUGGUGGUUUUGACAAGAAAUUGGUCAUUGUAGCCAUGGCAAAGAAUGGGUUUGAAGUGAAUAUGGAGAUGGGACAGUGGAGAAGAACACAGAAAGCAGGGAGUUCCCAGGAGCUAAUAACAAAUCUAAGUGACCAAAAUGAUAGCCACUCGUUGGCUAUGUGGUGGAUGUUAUCCACAAAUCUGGUUUCGGCUGGAUUUUUAUCAGGUCUAGAAAUAUCAUGCAACCCCCUUUCGGUUGGAUUUUCACA